CCUCCCCUUGCACCGGACGUGGACCCAGGCUGCCGUUGGGCAAGAUAGAGGACUGAGCCAAGGCACAAACGGCUGGCCAGAAAAGGCUGGCCAGCCUCUGGUCCGGUACCAGGCAAGUGAUUGGAGUCCCUUUCCAGUUUGGAAACAUCUGGGCAGGCCCAGCUGGUAAGGUUACUUUUCUACUUUGAACAAGCAAACAAGCCAACAGAAGAGAAGUUUCACAAGCAACUCCCAGCACAUCCGCUCACCUAGUGUUGUCUGUGACCUCACUCUCGGUGCCCCACCUCUUAUUACAGGUGACAUCGAAAGCCAAUUCCUCGAAAAGUCCCCAGGGCCCCAUCCCUCCCAUCUUCUCUGGGUUGUCACUCCCAAAACCAUCCUCUCUUUCACUACCUCAUCUAUUUUGUUCUGCUAGUUGGCUCCCAUCAGUAUAUAAACGUCCAUCUUCUUAAAAGAAACAAACAGCACUC
Long non-coding RNA from Camelus dromedarius (Arabian camel), 470 nucleotides. RefSeq lists it as uncharacterized. The transcript is spliced from 3 exons. The record is from RefSeq and is a predicted model, not a curated record. Lineage: Eukaryota; Metazoa; Chordata; Mammalia; Artiodactyla; Camelidae.